UAACUGUAGACAUGCUGAAGAUAUUGGCGUAAAGUGCUUAAAUUGUUCAUAUGGUGAUCUUCGUCUCAUUAAUGGUACUUUUCCUAAUGAAGGACGUGUAGAAAUUUGCAUUGACAAUACCUGGGGAACUGUUUGUGAUAGAAAUUGGACUGAUGCUAGUGCUGAUGUUGUAUGUAAACAAUUAGGAUACAAUACUACUGGUAUGCAUCUCUGUAUACAAUAAUUUGCGUGUCUUGUUUCCCUUUCCUCCUCUAAUUAAGGUGAUGUUUACUCAUUUUUUGGUGGAGGAAAUGGGGAUAUAUUUGUGAAUGGUGUGAAUUGCAUUGGGUUUGAGAAUACUUUACUUCAAUGCGAACACAACUUGACUAGCUUGAGUCAAGGCACUGAUUGCACUCAUCAAGAUGCUGUUGGUGUAAUAUGUUUGUUAUCAGUUUGUUAUGAUGGUCAGCUACGCCUAGUCAAUGGAAGAGUUCCCAAUGAAGGACGUCUAGAGAUAUGCUAUAACAAUACUUGGGGGACAGUUUGUGAUUAUGGAUGGACUAAUAUUAUGGCUGAUUUUGCAUGUGGACUGUUAGGAUAUUCUAAUACAGGUAUAAUAAUAAUAAUAAUAAUUUUCCUUAAAUGACAUUUAAAUAUCAUAUUUUUUGAUUUAUAAUUAAGA
Long non-coding RNA from Amphimedon queenslandica, 661 nucleotides. RefSeq lists it as uncharacterized. NCBI's taxonomy places the organism in Eukaryota, Metazoa, Porifera, Demospongiae, Haplosclerida, Niphatidae. The record is from RefSeq and is a predicted model, not a curated record. The transcript has 3 exons.